CUAAGACUGGAUAGGAGACAAGAAGGCAUCUUCUUGUUUUUAAAAGACCUAGCAAUAGGUAUGCUUAGGUAGGAGCUUGCGUCACAUUAGUUAGUUGGUGGGGUAAAGGCCUACCAAGACUAUGAUGUGUAGCCGGGCUGAGAGGUUGAACGGCCACAUUGGGACUGAGACACGGCCCAAACUCCUACGGGAGGCAGCAGUAGGGAAUUUUCGGCAAUGGAGGAAACUCUGACCGAGCAACGCCGCGUGAACGAUGAAGUAUUUCGGUACGUAAAGUUCUUUUAUUAGGGAAGAAUAAAUGAUGGAAAAAUCAUUCUGACGGUACCUAAUGAAUAAGCCCCGGCUAACUAUGUGCCAGCAGCCGCGGUAAUACAUAGGGGGCAAGCGUUAUCCGGAAUUAUUGGGCGUAAAGGGUGCGUAGGCGGUUAAAUAAGUUUGUGGUCUAAGUGCAAUGCUCAACAUUGUGAUGCUAUAAAAACUGUUUAGCUAGAGUAAGAUAGAGGCAAGUGGAAUUCCAUGUGUAGUGGUAAAAUGCGUAAAUAUAUGGAGGAACACCAGUAGCGAAGGCGGCUUGCUGGGUCUUUACUGACGCUGAGGCACGAAAGCGUGGGGAGCAAACAGGAUUAGAUACCCUGGUAGUCCACGCCGUAAACGAUGAGUACUAAACGUUGGGUAAAACCAGUGUUGAAGUUAACACAUUAAGUACUCCGCCUGAGUAGUACGUACGCAAGUAUGAAACUUAAAGGAAUUGACGGGACUCCGCACAAGCGGUGGAUCAUGUUGUUUAAUUCGAAGGUACCCGAAAAACCUCACCAGGUCUUGACAUGCUUCUGCAAAGCUGUAGAAACACAGUGGAGGUUAUCAGUUGCACAGGUGGUGCAUGGUUGUCGUCAGCUCGUGUCGUGAGAUGUUGGGUUAAGUCCCGCAACGAGCGCAACCCUUAUUGUUAGUUACCAGCACGUAAUGGUGGGGACUUUAGCAAGACUGCCAGUGAUAAAUUGGAGGAAGGUGGGGACGACGUCAAAUCAUCAUGCCCCUUAUGACCUGGGCUACAAACGUGAUACAAUGGCUGUUACAAAGGGUAGCUGAAGCGCAAGUUUUUGGCGAAUCUCAAAAAAACAGUCUCAGUUCGGAUUGAAGUCUGCAACUCGACUUCAUGAAGUUGGAAUCGCUAGUAAUCGCGAAUCAGCAUGUCGCGGUGAAUACGUUCUCGGGGUUUGUACACACCGCCCGUCA
RNAcentral lists this ribosomal RNA (1236 nucleotides) under Elm witches'-broom phytoplasma. RNAcentral describes it as "bacterial SSU rRNA". It matches the Rfam family "Bacterial small subunit ribosomal RNA", at positions 163 to 1399 of the family's 1533-position model. The record is from RNAcentral. Lineage: Bacteria; Bacillati; Mycoplasmatota; Mollicutes; Acholeplasmatales; Acholeplasmataceae.